AAACCAGAUGCUCCACAGGGCGCAGCUUUAUACAACUGCAGAGGUCGAACCCUGAACAGUUGGAGCAAGUGUGGACACAACAUUCCAGCUUGAUACAGCUCUGAAUUUGGAUUGUGAUUAAAUAGUUGACACAGCAAAGGUUUCUGACACAGAAUGAAUGUGGUCUAAUGAACUUAACAUUUUUUUCUUGCUUUUGAGCAAUACACUAUGCUGUAGAAUAUUCAUCCCCUCAAAAAAACAUUUGAAGAAAAAUUCUUU
This 258-nucleotide long non-coding RNA is filed under the name Mytilus galloprovincialis (Mediterranean mussel). Lineage: Eukaryota; Metazoa; Mollusca; Bivalvia; Mytilida; Mytilidae. The record is from RNAcentral.